AGAGUUUGAUCAUGGCUCAGAACGAACGCUGGCGGCAUGCCUAAUACAUGCAAGUCGAACGAUCUCUUCGGAGAUAGUGGCGCACGGGUGCGUAACGCGUGGGAAUCUGCCCUUGGGUUCGGAAUAACGUCGGGAAACUGACGCUAAUACCGGAUGAUGACGUAAGUCCAAAGAUUUAUCGCCCAGGGAUGAGCCCGCGUAGGAUUAGCUAGUUGGUGAGGUAAAGGCUCACCAAGGCGACGAUCCUUAGCUGGUCUGAGAGGAUGAUCAGCCACACUGGGACUGAGACACGGCCCAGACUCCUACGGGAGGCAGCAGUAGGGAAUAUUGGACAAUGGGCGCAAGCCUGAUCCAGCAAUGCCGCGUGAGUGAUGAAGGCCUUAGGGUUGUAAAGCUCUUUUACCCGGGAUGAUAACGACAGUACCGGGAGAAUAAGCCCCGGCUAACUCCGUGCUAGCCGCCGCGGUAAUAC
Molecule: ribosomal RNA, 472 nt
Filed under: uncultured bacterium
Lineage: Bacteria
Description: bacterial SSU rRNA
Rfam family: Bacterial small subunit ribosomal RNA
Source: RNAcentral